AUUGAACGCUGGCGGAAUGCUUUACACAUGCAAGUCGGGCGGCAGCACGGGGGCAACCCUGGUGGCGAGCGGCGAACGGGUGAGUAAUACAUCGGAACGUACCCUGUCGUGGGGGAUAACGAAUCGAAAGAUUCGCUAAUACCGCAUACGACCUGAGGGUGAAAGCGGGGGAUCGCAAGACCUCGCGCGAUGAGAUGAGCCGAUGUCGGAUUAGCUUGUUGGCGGGGUAACGGCUUACCAAGGCGACGAUCCGUAGCUGAUCUGAGAGGAUGAUCAGCCACACUGGGACUGAGACACGGCCCAGACUCCUACGGGAGGCAGCAGUGGGGAAUAUUGGACAAUGGGCGAAAGCCUGAUCCAGCAAUACCGCGUGUGUGAAGAAGGCCUGAGGGUUGUAAAGCACUUUCAAUAGAAGGAAUACCUACUGGUUAAUACCCGGUAGACUGACAUUACCUAUACAAGAAGCACCGGCUAA
RNAcentral lists this ribosomal RNA (475 nucleotides) under uncultured bacterium. Its description in RNAcentral is "bacterial SSU rRNA". It matches the Rfam family "Bacterial small subunit ribosomal RNA", at positions 30 to 500 of the family's 1533-position model. The record is from RNAcentral.